This 2903-nucleotide ribosomal RNA is filed under the name Proteus mirabilis. Its description in RNAcentral is "23S ribosomal RNA". It matches the Rfam family "Bacterial large subunit ribosomal RNA". The record is from RNAcentral. Lineage: Bacteria; Pseudomonadati; Pseudomonadota; Gammaproteobacteria; Enterobacterales; Morganellaceae.
GGUUAAGCGAAUAAGCGUACACGGUGGAUGCCUAGGCAAUCAGAGGCGAUGAAGGACGUGCUAAUCUGCGAAAAGCGUCGGUAAGGUGAUAUGAACCGUUAUACCCGACGAUAUCCGAAUGGGGAAACCCAGUAUCCAAUGGAUACUAUCAUUAACUGAAUCCAUAGGUUAAUGAGGCGAACCGGGAGAACUGAAACAUCUCAGUACCCCGAGGAAAAGAAAUCAACCGAGAUUCCCCUAGUAGCGGCGAGCGAACGGGGAGCAGCCCAGAGUCUUAAUCAAUAGCAGUGUCAGGAGAACGGUCUGGAAAGUCCGGCAGUAAAGGGUGAUAGCCCCGUAUCUGAAGAUGCUGUUAUUGUGAACUCGACGAGUAGGGCGGGACACGUGUUAUCCUGUCUGAAUAUGGGGGGACCAUCCUCCAAGGCUAAAUACUCCUGAUUGACCGAUAGUGAACCAGUACCGUGAGGGAAAGGCGAAAAGAACCCCGGCGAGGGGAGUGAAAAAGAACCUGAAACCGUGUACGUACAAGCAGUAGGAGCCUCUUUAUGGGGUGACUGCGUACCUUUUGUAUAAUGGGUCAGCGACUUAUAUUCUGUAGCGAGGUUAACCGCAUAGGGGAGCCGUAGGGAAACCGAGUCUUAACUGGGCGAAUGAGUUGCAGGGUAUAGACCCGAAACCCGGUGAUCUAUCCAUGGGCAGGUUGAAGGUUGGGUAACACUAACUGGAGGACCGAACCGACUAAUGUUGAAAAAUUAGCGGAUGACUUGUGGAUGGGGGUGAAAGGCCAAUCAAACCGGGAGAUAGCUGGUUCUCCCCGAAAGCUAUUUAGGUAGCGCCUCGUGAACUCAUCUUCGGGGGUAGAGCACUGUUUCGACUAGGGGGUCAUCCCGACUUACCAACUCGAUGCAAACUGCGAAUACCGAAGAAUGUUAUCACGGGAGACACACGGCGGGUGCUAACGUCCGUCGUGAAGAGGGAAACAACCCAGACCGCCAGCUAAGGUCCCAAAGUCAUGGUUAAGUGGGAAACGAAGUGGGAAGGCUCAGACAGCCAGGAUGUUGGCUUAGAAGCAGCCAUCAUUUAAAGAAAGCGUAAUAGCUCACUGGUCGAGUCGGCCCGCGCGGAAGAUGUAACGGGGCUAAACCAUGCACCGAAGCUGCGGCAGCGACACAAAGUGUUGUUGGGUAGGGGAGCGUUCUGUAAGCCUGCGAAGGUGUACUGUGAGGUAUGCUGGAGGUAUCAGAAGUGCGAAUGCUGACAUAAGUAACGAUAAUGCGGGUGAAAAACCCGCACGCCGGAAGACCAAGGGUUCCUGUCCAACGUUAAUCGGGGCAGGGUGAGUCGACCCCUAAGGCGAGGCUGAAAAGCGUAGUCGAUGGGAAACGGGUUAAUAUUCCCGUACUGGUGGUAACUGCGAUGGGGGAACGGAGAAGGCUAGGUUGUCCGGGCGACGGUCGUCCCGGUUCAAGCAGGUAGGCAGAGUGAUUAGGCAAAUCCGGUCACUUAAUGCUGAGAUGUGAUGACGAACCACUAAGGUGGUGAAGCAAUUGAUGCCCCGCUUCCAGGAAAAGCCUCUAAGCUUCAGGUUACCAACAAUCGUACCCCAAACCGACACAGGUGGUCAGGUAGAGAAUACUCAGGCGCUUGAGAGAACUCGGGUGAAGGAACUAGGCAAAAUGGUGCCGUAACUUCGGGAGAAGGCACGCUGGCGGUAGGUAAAGUCCCUCGCGGACGGCGCCCAAGCCAGUCGAAGAUACCAGCUGGCUGCAACUGUUUAUUAAAAACACAGCACUGUGCAAACACGAAAGUGGACGUAUACGGUGUGACGCCUGCCCGGUGCUGGAAGGUUAAUUGAUGGGGUCAGCCGUAAGGCGAAGCUCCUGAUCGAAGCCCCAGUAAACGGCGGCCGUAACUAUAACGGUCCUAAGGUAGCGAAAUUCCUUGUCGGGUAAGUUCCGACCUGCACGAAUGGCGUAAUGAUGGCCAGGCUGUCUCCACCCGAGACUCAGUGAAAUUGAACUCGCUGUGAAGAUGCAGUGUACCCGCGGCAAGACGGAAAGACCCCGUGAACCUUUACUAUAGCUUGACACUGAACAUUGAGCCUUGAUGUGUAGGAUAGGUGGGAGGCUUUGAAGUGUGGACGCCAGUCUGCAUGGAGCCAACCUUGAAAUACCACCCUUUAACGUUUGAUGUUCUAACCUAGGCCCAUAAACUGGGUCGGGGACCGUGUCUGGUGGGUAGUUUGACUGGGGCGGUCUCCUCCUAAAGAGUAACGGAGGAGCACGAAGGUUGGCUAAGCAUGGUCGGACAUCAUGCGGUUAGUGCAAAGGCAUAAGCCAGCUUGACUGCGAGAGUGACGGCUCGAGCAGGUACGAAAGUAGGUCUUAGUGAUCCGGUGGUUCUGAAUGGAAGGGCCAUCGCUCAACGGAUAAAAGGUACUCCGGGGAUAACAGGCUGAUACCGCCCAAGAGUUCAUAUCGACGGCGGUGUUUGGCACCUCGAUGUCGGCUCAUCACAUCCUGGGGCUGAAGUAGGUCCCAAGGGUAUGGCUGUUCGCCAUUUAAAGUGGUACGCGAGCUGGGUUUAGAACGUCGUGAGACAGUUCGGUCCCUAUCUGCCGUGGGCGUUGGAAGAUUGAGAGGGGUUGCUCCUAGUACGAGAGGACCGGAGUGAACGCACCACUGGUGUUCGGGUUGUCAUGCCAAUGGCAUUGCCCGGUAGCUAAGUGCGGAAGAGAUAACCGCUGAAAGCAUCUAAGCGGGAAACUUGCCUCGAGAUGAGUCUUCCCUGUCGCUUUAAGCGACCUAAAGGAACGUUUAAGACUAAGACGUUGAUAGGCUGGGUGUGUAAGCGUAGCGAUACGUUGAGCUAACCAGUACUAAUGAACCGUGAGGCUUAACCUG